This is a long non-coding RNA of Pteropus alecto (black flying fox), 3890 nucleotides long. RefSeq lists it as uncharacterized. Lineage: Eukaryota; Metazoa; Chordata; Mammalia; Chiroptera; Pteropodidae. The record is from RefSeq and is a predicted model, not a curated record. The transcript is spliced from 8 exons.
AUGUAUAGGAAAAAACAGUGCAUGUAGGGUUCAGUACUAUGUGGUUUCAGUCAUGCACUGGGGGUCUUGGGGAAUGUAUCCCUGUGGAUAAGGGGGCGCUGCUAUAGGUAUUCUUUUGUAUCUGACUUCUUUCAUGCAACAUCGUGUGUGAGAGAUCCAGGCAGGGUUUUUGCAUAGCUGUACUUGGUUGUUCUUCAUUGCUGUAUAAUAUUCCAUUAUAUGGCUUAUACCGUAAUUUAUGUUUUCAUUCUUUUGUUGAUGGAUUUCAAGUUUGUUUUUUUUUUCUGGUUUGGGACUCUUAUGAAUAAAGUGGCUAUGAAUAUUUUUUGCCCCUGGCUUUGGGUGCAUAGAAGCUCUCAUUCCUGUCAGGCGUCUACCCUGGAGGGGUCCCAGGCCUUUUGGACAUUCUAAGUGAAAACACUUCAAGAUAAGGGAAAAGGGAACUAGUGUGUGGCAGGCAUGAGAAUCUGAGGAGCGGAAAGGAGGGAGCGGGUGCCAGACCACAGCAGCCACGUUCAGAAGAAGAUGUGAAAAGAAGCUGGCCACCUGCCAACAGCAUUUCCCCUUUCAGAAAUGUCAUCUGAUCUUUUUUUUUUUUUUUCCCCUGGCAAAAUGCAUGAGAGAUUCCCUGACCUUGGGAAUUCUCUUCCUCCUCGUCCUGUCGGCUCCUGUCGGCGUCCUGGUCAGUAGACCUCAGGGAUGACCGAGUUUAUGCUUCUCAUUUGACAGAUGAGAAAACUGAUGUCCAGAGAAGUGACUUGCCGGAAGCCUCACAGCUGGUUCUCUUCCCCGAAGUCAGCCAGGGAGAAGUCUCACCGUGUCCUUCUCCAUCACAGGACCGAGCCCUUGAAUCAGCAUUUUGUCAACGCGCCAACUGCCUACGAGCACCUGAGUGACAGAACCUCAUGCAAGGCCGCUCUCCCGGGCUUUGAACGCACUCCGGCCGCACCGACCUCCCCGCUUAGGCUCCAUGCCUAGCCUAAGUCCACCGCUGGGCCUUUGCACUUGCUGUUCAGCCCUGCUCUUCGAGUGGCAUUUCUUCUGCAUCUUUCAGGUCUCGGCUUGAAUGUCACCUCCUCAGAGAGACAUCCUCUGACCUUCCGCCUAGAAACCAGUCUCCCCCGUGUGCUUUCUGCUGUCUUCACAGUCCUUACCACAUGAUCUCACUGGGAUUUAUUUGUUUACGUAUUGUUUCUUCCCUCACAUGAUAAGGCAUUAGAAAGGCAGGAACGAACUGGUCUUGUUGAUUGUCAGUUCCCCAAGUACCAAGCUUAGUACCUACAGGGACAGAUUAGCAGGAAAGUAUAGCAGAGGCUUCAAGAAAAUCAGUGGUGUUCGAUCUUGGCUGUGUGCUUGGAUCACCUUUCAAAGAAUAACUACGGGCCCCACCUCAGACUCAUCGAAUGGGAAUCUCCAGGGGUGGAACCUUCACAUUAGGGUUUUAAAAAAACUCUCCAUGGGUUUUUACCGCACCUGGCCUUCAGGACUAAGACCUAUUUGACUAGCUCAGCGUGUCUGGGGUGGAGCAUCUGUAUUUUUAACCAUUAUCCAGGUGUUUUCUAUGCUCAUUAUAACUUGAGGACCCCUGAACGAGAGCCCUGCUUCCUGUCACAGCUUGGCAUCCUGGGGUCAACAGAGAAGGCUGAUCCCGGCCAGGGGGGACCUGGCCACCUGAGGGUUGGGGCCAUGAAAGUCUCAGCCACUCCUUUCACCAUUCAAGACAGAACUCGAUCCAAGGUCUCUGUCACGAGUCUAGGAAUCUUUAAAAUGGCCUAAGCCCCCUUAGCAGGACCCUGGGUUAAUUACUUGAUAGUCUCAUUUUUCUAUGACAUUCAUGGUGUCUUUCUUCCUGGGAGAGUUUUAAGUGAGUCCUUGACCCUUGCAUUGGCUUGAGAAUUAUUGUUUCUUUCCUUCCAAAUGUGGAGUUCUACAGACAAAUAUAACUUAUUCAACAGAAUAGCUCCUUGGGGGAGAACAAGUUAUUUUGUCUUUAUUCAUCCAGUGGCAUUACCAGUGACGAUCACAUGCCGAAGGCUCCUGAGCCUCGUCUAUAAAAUGGAGGCCAUUUCACUGCCCCACCGGGGCUGAGCUGAGGCUCGAUCGGCCACCUUGCCCGUGUAUUCAUACGGCUGCUGUGACAAAUACCGCAACCUGGCGGCUUAAACAGCACGAACGUAUUAUUUUACGCGUCUGUAGCAUCGAGAGCUGGCCACCGGCCUUGGCUGCUGGCCCCUUCCUCCACCUUCAAAGCCAUCAACGGCGGCCGAGCCUAUUUUUCACAUCACAUCACAUCACUCCGACUUCCCUCCGCGGUCCAUCUCCCUCCCCUCUCUGCGUCUGCCUCCUAGCCUCGCGAUUACUUCGGGCCCACCGGACAAUCCUGAAACAGGAUGAUCUCCCUAUUUAAGCUUGGCAUGCCCAGGGGCCAGGAGGAAGACUGAUUUAUUCUGUAGGAAAAUGAUGAAGGGCAAGUGGCUGGACGAGGGAGUCAGGGCAGGUAUCACAAGGGCCCCUGCCCACCUGAAGCUGGAUCUGUUGGGCCUUAUUCCUGAGUGGUCUGGGCUGGGGCUGCGAGGGAUGGAUCAUCUUGCCAUCUAGUGGCAUCUCCUCAUGGGAGGGGCAUGGCAGGGCAGCCUGCAGCUCUGGGGCACAUCUGACAGCUCAAGAUCCAAAACGAAAGCGAGGGCUGACCUUCCACUCACAACGUGAGCCGUCCAGGCGAAGGGCGUGGAUCCAGCAUCCAAUAAUGCCAUGCUCGACAAUGCGGAAGUCCUGCCUGGGAACAUCUGGCUUCAGAAAUUUUUACUGUAAGCAGCUGGGGGUGGCGGCCAGCCUUAGGUCAGGGAGUACGAGGCCAGCCUCCGCAGACAGCCAUCUGUCCAUGCUAAGAUCCUAGCUCCCACUCAUUAGCUCGGGGCCCCGGGAAUCUAUGUAACUUCUCCAUGCCUCAGUUUCUCCCUCUGCCAGUUGAGGAAAACAAUGCCUGCCUGAGGGAUUCCUGGGGGAUUCGAGCACAAGCACACCCAGCUGCGGUUCUCCACGGGGGAGGGUUUUGCCUCCCCAGGGGACAUUUGGCAACCUCUGGAGACGUUUGUGGGCUGUCGUGCCUGGAGGGGGGCGGGGGUGAUCAUGGCAUCUAGGGGGAGAGGUCAGGGAUGCUGCAGGACAGCCCUGGCUCCCAACAAAGUCUGUCCAGAAUGUCAACGGCGCUGAGGGGGAGACACCCUGCCGUGAGGGACAGGGCGGUGUCCAGGCUAGGCCUGGCCUCUGGGUCCGAUGUCCCUCAAUUCUCAGUUCUGUUCCUGGCGUUUCCGUGAGCCGCUGGGCGCGUGGACUCAAGUUUCUUUCCCUCUCUGAGUAUCGGGGUGAGGGGGGUGCUCCCUGCCCUGGAGUCCGACUGCCCUGCCCCGCCUGCACGUGAGAGGAUGCAUCGUUUGAGAAAGAGGAGCCCCCUUGGGCCACGUUGAAGGAUCCCACGCUGUCCCCCGAGAGCCACCGCACUGGACGCUCUGUUCUCUCACCAGUGCAAGCAUUGUCCCCUCGGGCUGUGCGGCCUGGUGCUGACCCCACCCCUGGCGGACUUGGGACCCUGUCCAAGCCCAGGAGGCUCCACCCUGAGACUUUGCGGGAACAAGAGGCCCUGUCCUGGGGAGCUCUUGCUAAGCUGGGACGUUGCAUAUCUGGUGGUCAUUUUUGCCAACAGCUGGGGACAACCUGUCUGGGAAUGAAGCUGAUACAGAGGAAAGCAAAGCCAUUUCUUUAUUUAAAGAUAAAGAAAAAUGAAGAUCCUGAAAAUAUCGUUCGAUGCUCUGUAUCCAGCCUUGUCCAAACCAGUUGUGGUCUUGGACUGCUGUUUACAAAGAACAAUAAAUCUUUCUAUUUUUAAACCA